UUUCCAGACUCCUACGGGAGGCAGCAGUGGGGGAUAUUGCACAAUGGGGGGAACCCUGAUGCAGCGACGCCGCGUGGGUGAAGAAGCGCCUCGGCGCGUAAAGCCCUGUCAGCAGGGAAGAAAAUGACGGUACCUGAAGAAGAAGCCCCGGCUAACUACGUGCCAGCAGCCGCGGUAAUACGUAGGGGGCAAGCGUUAUCCGGAUUUAUUGGGUUUAAAGGGUGCGUAGGCGGUCCGGAAAGUCAGCGGAAAAAGCCCGGGGCUCACCCCCGGCGAGCCGUUGAAACUGUCGGACUAGAGACGGCGAGAAGUACGCGGAAUGCGCGGUGUAGCGGUGAAAUGCAUAGAUAUCGCGCAGAACUCCGAUUGCGAAGGCAGCGUACCGGCGCCGGACUGACGCUGAGGCACGAAAGCGUGGGUAUCGAACAGGAUUAGAUACCCUUGUA
RNAcentral lists this ribosomal RNA (446 nucleotides) under uncultured bacterium. RNAcentral's name for it is "partial 16S ribosomal RNA". It matches the Rfam family "Bacterial small subunit ribosomal RNA", at positions 328 to 792 of the family's 1533-position model. The record is from RNAcentral.